Molecule: long non-coding RNA, 1093 nt
Filed under: Ananas comosus (pineapple)
Lineage: Eukaryota; Viridiplantae; Streptophyta; Magnoliopsida; Poales; Bromeliaceae
Description: long non-coding RNA (ACOM_LNC019040)
Source: RNAcentral
AUAUAUAGUCUAGCUAUGGUGCUUGUAAAAGCACCGAGCACUUAGUGCUUGUAAGUUUUUUACCAUUAGAUCUACUACUUGGAUCAUUUUCAACCAUUAGAUUAUACUAUUCAACCAACCACCCACUCAACCCUAGAGGGCCCACAUCAUCCUAAACCGCAUAUCUCUUAAUCCAACGGCUAAAAAUCUAUAAGUACCAAUAACUUGGUACUUUUAAAAGCAUAGGAGCUCAAUUUUAUAUAUAUAUAUAUAAAAUUUUAUUUAUAAAUAUAUAUUUAUUUAAUAUAUAUAGUAUUUUAUUUUUAUAUAGAUAUAUAUUAUUAUAUAAUAAUUUAUUAUAUAAUUUACUAUUUAUUUUUAUAAAAUAUAAAAUAUAUAAAUAAAUGUUAAAUAAUUUAAACUAUUGGUAUUAGAUAUAAAUGUUACUUUUAUAAUAUUGUACAUUAAAAAAUAAAAUAUUUCAUAAUUAUUCUUUAUAGAUUGUACAGUUAUCGAGGAAUAAUAUAUAUUAUACAUUAAAAAAUUUUAAAAAAAUUGAUGCAGCUUAAGUUAAUUUUAUAUUUGACGAAAGUUAAUUGCGAAAAUCACAAGUAAUGAUUUCUCUUCUCAUUCACUAACUACUGGAGAACUACGAUACCUAAUAAAAAUUAUUUCACUAACUAAUGGGGGACUACCAUACCUACUAAAAUUUUUUGAUGUACUUAUUGCACUAUUUAUUAUUUUUCAAUUUCUUAAACAUGCGGUCAUGUUUGAGAUAAUUAGUAUGGGAUAAUUUCAUUCGUACCUCUAAAAAUAUUAGAAAUAUUAUAGAUAACCUUACAAAAUUAGUAAUAUUAAAUCAAAUAAAAGAGAACAAGAUGGGAAAAUAUUUAAUAAAGUUGAAAAACUAUUUCAAAAUAUCUUAUUGUUGAGAGAGCUCUUUAUAUUUGCUAUAUUAGGGAAGAUAGCUGCAUUUAUUUAAAAUUAUUUCGUAAUUUAUCUGUAAUAUUUCAUAAUUAUUCUGAAAUUAUUUUUUAUAAUUAAUUUUUAAAAUUAAAAUUUAAAAUAACUACCCGCAGCAUCGCGCGGAUCUCUUAACUAGUGUAGUAAUUAA